UACGUAGGUGGCAAGCGUUAUCCGGAUUUACUGGGUGUAAAGGGCGUGUAGGCGGGAGUGCAAGUCAGAUGUGAAAACCACGGGCUCAACCUGUGGCCUGCAUUUGAAACUGUACUUCUUGAGUACUGGAGAGGCAGACGGAAUUCCUAGUGUAGCGGUGAAAUGCGUAGAUAUUAGGAGGGACACCAGUGGCGAAGGCGGUCUGCUGGACAGCAACUGACGCUGAGGCGCGAAAGCGUGGGGAGCAAACAGG
This 253-nucleotide ribosomal RNA is filed under the name uncultured bacterium. RNAcentral describes it as "partial 16S ribosomal RNA". It matches the Rfam family "Bacterial small subunit ribosomal RNA", at positions 524 to 776 of the family's 1533-position model. The record is from RNAcentral.